UACGAAGGGGGCUAGCGUUGUUCGGAAUCACUGGGCGUAAAGCGCACGCAGGCGGAUUGGUAAGUCAGGGGUGAAAUCCCGGAGCUCAACUUCGGAAUUGCCUUUGAUACUGUCUGUCUUGAGUCCGGGAGAGGUGAGUGGAAUUCCUAGUGUAGAGGUGAAAUUCGUAGAUAUUAGGAAGAACACCAGUGGCGAAGGCGGCUCACUGGCCCGGUACUGACGCUGAGGUGCGAAAGCGUGGGGAGCAAACAGG
Molecule: ribosomal RNA, 253 nt
Filed under: uncultured bacterium
Lineage: Bacteria
Description: partial 16S ribosomal RNA
Rfam family: Bacterial small subunit ribosomal RNA
Source: RNAcentral